UCUAGGGUUAUUCUAUGUAAGAUUGCGGCUUUGGGGGUUGCAGAACUUACCCUUGAU
Molecule: transfer RNA, 57 nt
Filed under: Lepidoglyphus destructor
Lineage: Eukaryota; Metazoa; Arthropoda; Arachnida; Sarcoptiformes; Glycyphagidae
Description: tRNA-Pro
Source: RNAcentral